GUGGGGUAGUAGCCUACCAAGGCGACGACGGGUAGCCGGCCUGAGAGGGUGACCGGCCACACUGGGACUGAGACACGGCCCAGACUCCUACGGGAGGCAGCAGUGGGGAAUAUUGCGCAAUGGGCGGAAGCCUGACGCAGCGACGCCGCGUGGGGGAUGACGGCCUUCGGGUUGUAAACCUCCUUCAGCAGGGACGAAGCCACGAGGUGACGGUACCUGCAGAAGAAGCACCGGCCAACUACGUGCCAGCAGCCGCGGUAAUACGUAGGGUGCAAGCGUUGUCCGGAAUUAUUGGGCGUAAAGAGCCCGUAGGCGGUUUGUCGCGUCGGCUGUGAAAACCCGGAGCUCAACUCCGGGCCUGCAGUCGAUACGGGCAGACUCGAGUGUUGCAGGGGAGACUGGAAUUCCUGGUGUAGCGGUGAAAUGCGCAGAUAUCAGGAGGAACACCGGUGGCGAAGGCGGGUCUCUGGGCAACAACUGACGCUGAGGAGCGAAAGCGUGGGGAGCGAACAGGAUUAGAUACCCUGGUAGUCCACGCCGUAAACGUUGGGCGCUAGGUGUGGGGGCCAUUCCACGGUCUCCGUGCCGCAGCUAACGCAUUAAGCG
This 606-nucleotide ribosomal RNA is filed under the name uncultured Actinomycetes bacterium. Its description in RNAcentral is "bacterial SSU rRNA". It matches the Rfam family "Bacterial small subunit ribosomal RNA", at positions 252 to 866 of the family's 1533-position model. The record is from RNAcentral. Lineage: Bacteria; Bacillati; Actinomycetota; Actinomycetes.